Molecule: ribosomal RNA, 254 nt
Filed under: uncultured bacterium
Lineage: Bacteria
Description: partial 16S ribosomal RNA
Rfam family: Bacterial small subunit ribosomal RNA
Source: RNAcentral
UACGGAGGGUCCGAGCGUUAUCCGGAAUCAUUGGGUUUAAAGGGUCCGUAGGCGGCCCUGUAAGUCAGUGGUGAAAUCUCCCGGCUCAACCGGGAAAUUGCCAUUGAUACUGCAGGGCUUGAAUUAUUGGGAAGUAACUAGAAUAUGUAGUGUAGCGGUGAAAUGCUUAGAUAUUACAUGGGAAUACCGAUUGCGAAGGCAGGUUACUACCGGUGGAUUGACGCUGAUGGACGAAAGCGUGGGUAGCGAACAGG